AUUAUUACUUUAUUUUGACUUUUUCACCUUCAGGCUGAUUCUCCCACUCCUGAUGUAUCCUUUUACACCAUCUAGACCUAUGUUUCCUCCAAGUUUGUGACUCUUUGAAUACUGCAUGGAACAACCACCAAUUUCCAGCCUACAAUGAUCUUUUCCCCUCCCUUUUCUUAGGGUUUUUUGGUGUUAAUACCAGGUUUUAGUCAGUGCUACAAUUUCCCAAAGCAACACAUUUUGGCAGAGGUAAAAAUGAUGCUUUUUCCUCAGACAUCCAAAAAAGCAAGCAAAAGCAGAAAUUUGCCACAAUACAUACCGGGAGCCAGAAAUAGGAAUCCCUGAAGGCUGUUGUGAGGUGCCAUGACAUUCUGGAACAGAGUGAUCUCCAGCAGUGUUUCCUCCAAUUGCACACUUGAAAAAAGCUUACUUGGACAAUCCAUCUCCCUAGC
RNAcentral lists this long non-coding RNA (443 nucleotides) under Lonchura striata (white-rumped munia). Its description in RNAcentral is "domestica (Bengalese finch) lncRNA (ENSLSDG00000013615.1)". The record is from RNAcentral. Lineage: Eukaryota; Metazoa; Chordata; Aves; Passeriformes; Estrildidae.